RNAcentral lists this ribosomal RNA (287 nucleotides) under uncultured bacterium. RNAcentral describes it as "partial 16S ribosomal RNA". It matches the Rfam family "Bacterial small subunit ribosomal RNA", at positions 773 to 1060 of the family's 1533-position model. The record is from RNAcentral.
GUGGAUUAGAUACCCUAGUAGUCCACGCCGUAAACGUUGGGCACUAGAUGUGGGGCUCAUUCCACGAGUUCCGCGUCGCAGCUAACGCAUUAAGUGCCCCGCCUGGGGAGUACGGCCGCAAGGCUAAAACUCAAAGGAAUUGACGGGGGCCCGCACAAGCGGCGGAGCAUGCGGAUUAAUUCGAUGCAACGCGAAGAACCUUACCAAGGCUUGACAUAUACCGGAAAAGUGCAGAGAUGUGCUCCCCGUAAGGUCGGUAUACAGGUGGUGCACGGCCGUCGUCAACU